RNAcentral lists this ribosomal RNA (425 nucleotides) under uncultured bacterium. RNAcentral's name for it is "partial 16S ribosomal RNA". It matches the Rfam family "Bacterial small subunit ribosomal RNA", at positions 354 to 796 of the family's 1533-position model. The record is from RNAcentral.
GUGGGGAAUCUUGCGCAAUGGGCGAAAGCCUGACGCAGCCAUGCCGCGUGAAUGAUGAAGGUCUUAGGAUUGUAAAAUUCUUUCACCGGGGACGAUAAUGACGGUACCCGGAGAAGAAGCCCCGGCUAACUUCGUGCCAGCAGCCGCGGUAAUACGAAGGGGGCUAGCGUUGCUCGGAAUUACUGGGCGUAAAGGGCGCGUAGGCGGACAGUUUAGUCAGAGGUGAAAGCCCAGGGCUCAACCUUGGAAUUGACUUUGAUACUGGCUGUCUUGAGUACGGGGGAGGUGAGUGGAACUCCGAGUGUAGAGGUGAAAUUCGUAGAUAUUCGGAAGAACACCAGUGGCGAAGGCGACUCACUGGCCCGUUACUGACGCUGAGGCGCGAAAGCGUGGGGAGCAAACAGGAUUAGAAACCCCUGUAGUCC